AGCGUCCCACCUGCCUGGGCGCGAGGCCGCCCCAAAACCUGGCCGGCCUGGGUGGGACCCUCGUGCCGCCGCGCGCGGUGGGACGGAGCCUGCACACCUACUGUGGGGGGCGCAGAGGGCACCUGCCGAGCCCCCCAAGACCAUGGGCAUGGGGGUGCUCGUGGAAGGCAGGUGUGCGUGUCCUGUGCUACGGACCAGGACCAGGGCGCUCACACCAUCCCUGCCUGGGAGGGACGGCCAGCAGGUGACAAACGCCAGCGUCCCAGGGCACUGAGGCCACACAGGGCCCAGACGGAGCCUCCCCCUGAGACCCACCCAGCCGCCCACCACCCACAGAUGGGACCCUCUGGGCACCCCUCCCACUCAGGCAGGCUGAGGGGCCCCGCCGGGACUUCACAUGGGGGCUGACAGGGUUAAUGCAGUACACCCGGCUGAAAACAAACUGGAACAUACCAGACUGAAAAAGGAAAGCCUCUCCCCACUGCCUUCCAGGCAACCACUGUUAACAAAUUCCUCAGCACCUUCCAGAACGAA
Molecule: long non-coding RNA, 534 nt
Organism: Homo sapiens (human)
Lineage: Eukaryota; Metazoa; Chordata; Mammalia; Primates; Hominidae
Exons: 2
Source: RefSeq, a predicted model, not a curated record